GGGCAUGGCGCAGUCUGGUAGCGCAUCUGCUUUGGGAGCAGAGGGUCCGGCGUUCGUUAUGGGCACUGACCGAUUCUGUUCA
Molecule: transfer RNA, 82 nt
Filed under: Pseudomonadota bacterium
Lineage: Bacteria; Pseudomonadati; Pseudomonadota
Description: tRNA-Pro
Source: RNAcentral